GUUUCACCAUGUUAGCCAGGAUUGUCUGGAUCUCCUGACCUCGUGAUCCGCCCGCCUCGUCCUCCCAAAGUGCUGGGAUUACAGGCAUGAGCCACUGCACCCAGCUGGAGUCAUUUAACAUUUUAGAUAAGAGAUGCACAGCAAAGUCACUGCCAUUCAGAGCAGACUCUGAAAAUCAAAUCACAUGUCUCACCUUGAAUCUCCACCUAGUGACAACCACGAACUUGAGCGUGUGGUCCUUGCCCAGGAUCUCCUCGUUGCAUAAAAUGUCCAGCUGGGGGAUAAGGAGGUUUGAUUAGCAGCAGAGAGGUGCUCAACCCACACUGACAUGGCCACCUUGAUGCUGGCCCCAUCACACCCCGUCUACCACACCUGCCGUACUGAGCAACGGGAAGAGGUGGUUUGCGCCCCAUGAGCAGCCCUGACAGCUCCGGAAUCGGGCACCCUGGUUCCCCAGGUGGCACAGUCUCCUGCGGCUGCCGUGGAAAUUAUCACGAGGUGGUGUCUUCAAACAAUAGAAAUGUACUCAGUUCCAGAGUCCAUAACAGCCACGCUCCCUCUGCAGGCUCCGGGGGAGAAGCACAGUCCAUUCCGUGCUGCUGCCACAGAACACCACACACUGGGUGAUUUAUGAAGAACAAAUUGAUUUCAGCACAGUUCUGGGAGCUGGGACAUUCAAGGUCACCACGUUGCCACCUGUGAAGGCCUUCUGCUGCGUCCUCAUGUUGGGGAAGAUCAGAAGUGAGAACACAUGCUGGCCAGUCCUUUCACAGCAGCAUCAAUCCGUGCAUGGGGCAGGGCCCUCGGCCUGAGUGCCUCCCCCAGGCCCUAACUCCCAGCACUGCCCUGCUGGGGAUGGAAUUUCCAACAUAUGAAUCUGGGGGAUGCCUUCGGACCACAACCGGGGAGCCUGCCCUGGCUUCCAGCUGCUGGUGGCCCAGGGGCUCCCUGGCUCGCCUCGAGGCUGCCUCCCUCCAGCCUCCAGUCUGUCCUCUGCUCUGUCCUCACCAGGGCCUCCUGUCUCGAGUCUUCCUCCGCCUCACUUGUGUCGUGGGAUUUAGGCUCCACCCAGAUAUUCCAGAAUUAUUUCAUCCCAAAAUCCUUUAUUUAAUUAUAUCUACAAAGAUCCUUUUCCAAACAAGGUCCCAUUUGCAGGCUCUGGGGGUGAGGAUGUGGCUUAUCUUCUGGGGCCACCACUGAGUCCACUGCUGCUACAGACAGCAUCUCAAGUCUGUCCACUUCUCCACCCUGACCGCCCCCACCACAGUCCUCUCCUGCAACUCCUGGCGCUGGCCUCUCCUGCGUCCAUUUCUGCACAGCCUGAGCGAUUUUCAAAAACGACACCUCAGACCCAUGCUCCUGCCCACAGCCGCCAGCGCCUUCUGUCUCCAUGCAAAGCUGGACCCUGCUGGCGCCUGCAUCCCCAUGGUGUCACUGCCUUGGGGGCUCACAGGGACCCACACUGGCAUGUUCAUGGUGCGCCUGCUGCCAAGGCCGCCUCAUGCCAGCACUCCUUCGUCUCCUUACACACCACAGCCUGGAAGGGUCCUCCCUCUCUGCAUCCGCCCAUGUCUCCCCUUGUGAAAUUAAAGCACAGAAUUUCUUGUUUUGAGGAAAACCUUUAUCCUAUUUUAAAACAAUCUCAUCAUCCCCGCCCUAGUUCUCUCUUCCACUCACAGUAGCGUUCCACGUUCCCUGUCUCUGGGCAUCCUACAACCCUUAGGGCUGUCUCCUAUCCCGCUCCCCGGUGAAGCAGGCAAAACUGAUUUUUUUCUGGUUAAAAUCUCCAAAGUUGUUAAAAACAAAACAAAACUAAGCAAAGAAUCUUAGAAGUGUUACCUUUAGAAAUAAGAGAGGACUUGUUAUGGUUUCUACUUAGGGAUCAACUGUUACCUCGUUAAAGGACGAAAGGUUGAGUUUUUUGGCGAUGAACUUCUUCAGAUGCAAGACGGUCGCCUGGGCUGAGCAGCGGAUCCACUUCCGCUUCAGCCCCCGCAGUUUGCUGCUGUUACACUCCAGGCAGAUGCUCACCUGCAGGAAAGGACGCUGGUGAGAGCGCAGCAGGAGGGUUCCCCCGGACGGUUCUGGAGACUUCCUUAGACAUAUUUCACUAAUUCCUCAAUCUAGGACUGCUGACCUUUUUAAGAUCAGACAUCUGCUUUGACUUCAACACUGCAGAAAAAGAAUCUUACAUACCUUAUCUGAAAACCUGUUUAUCGUCUGCUUGCCGUUUUGUGAACUAUAACCUCACCCUGUUAAUUCUGUGUGUUAUUAACAUGAUAGUUGAGAGUUAAUCCCAGAGUUAUUUAUCCAUCGCAGGCAUUGGCUUCUUGGUCUCCAGCUAAGCCUGUCCGGACAAACACGGCGCAAAGGGGAGUGGGCGGCCCCGUGUCUGCGAAUGCACUCGGGGAGACAGCAGCGACUACGGGGAGACAGCAGGGAGAAGCCUUGAGCAGGGCCACAGGCGGAAGGUCACAGCUGCCUUCCAGGUUACCAGCAGUUUGGCCGCAGGAUAAAAAGUGACUGAAGGGGACUGUGGAGUCCCAGCAGCCACGGGCUCCCUGCCGGUGCGAAAAGGAAUCUGCCCAGGACGAGGCUUCACCCAAGGGCCCGGCCGGCUUGGCCCUCAAGAUGUGCCUGACAAGGAAGGGCGACGCUCACGGCAAACGCUUCUACAGGUGGAGCCGCAACAAACGGCACAGUUAGGGCCUAAAAAUGCAGUGGAAGGAUGGACAGGGGGUUCACUGAAAUAUGUCUAAAAUUACAAAAGAUACAAAAGGGAGGACACCAGGGGUACAGACGGGCAAGUAUUGAAGGUAAUCAGAUACAAUUCCUAAAAAUAAAAACACUCACGGAAACUAACAUCUCAGUGGAUGGCUGAACCACAGAUUCUUCUCAGCCAAGGACAGAUUAAUGUCCUAAAAAAAAAAUUCACUUGAGGAAGUUACCCAUCAGGAGUAGAGAUAAACACACCAAUUCAAACAAUAAAAGGAAGGCUAAGAGAAAGGGGAGAAGACGGGAGCCCCAGAGGGAAGAACAGAAAGGAAAGAAGUGUAAGAAACAGUGACUAAGGAUCUCCCACAACAGUGAAGGACAGUC
This 3099-nucleotide long non-coding RNA is filed under the name Pan troglodytes (chimpanzee). Its description in RNAcentral is "long non-coding RNA NONPTRT012861". The record is from RNAcentral. Lineage: Eukaryota; Metazoa; Chordata; Mammalia; Primates; Hominidae.